AUAAAGCUAGCUUACCGAAGUUA
Molecule: non-coding RNA, 23 nt
Filed under: Drosophila ananassae
Lineage: Eukaryota; Metazoa; Arthropoda; Insecta; Diptera; Drosophilidae
Also listed under: 4 other names
Source: RNAcentral